RNAcentral lists this ribosomal RNA (264 nucleotides) under uncultured bacterium. RNAcentral's name for it is "partial 16S ribosomal RNA". It matches the Rfam family "Bacterial small subunit ribosomal RNA", at positions 793 to 1055 of the family's 1533-position model. The record is from RNAcentral.
GUCCACGCCGUAAACGAUGUCAACUAGCCGUUGGGCUCUUUAAGGGCUUAGUGGUGCAGCUAACGCGAUAAGUUGACCGCCUGGGGAGUACGGUCGCAAGAUUAAAACUCAAAUGAAUUGACGGGGGCCCCGCACAAGCGGUGGAGUAUGUGGUUUAAUUCGAUGCAACGCGAAGAACCUUACCUGGCCUUGACAUGUCCGGAACUUACCAGAGAUGGUUUGGUGCCUUCGGGAACCGGAACACAGGUGCUGCAUGGCUGUCGU